RNAcentral lists this ribosomal RNA (253 nucleotides) under uncultured bacterium. Its description in RNAcentral is "partial 16S ribosomal RNA". It matches the Rfam family "Bacterial small subunit ribosomal RNA", at positions 524 to 776 of the family's 1533-position model. The record is from RNAcentral.
UACGGAGGGUGCAAGCGUUAUCCGGAUUCACUGGGUUUAAAGGGUGCGUAGGCGGGCUUGUAAGUCAGUGGUGAAAGCCCGGAGCUUAACUCCGGAACUGCCAUUGAUACUGCAAGUCUUGAGUACACUUGAGGUGGGCGGAAUACAUCAUGUAGUGGUGAAAUACUUAGAUAUGAUGUAGAACACCGAUUGCGAAGGCAGCUCACUAAAUUGUAACUGACGCUGAGGCACGAAAGCGUGGGGAUCAAACAGG